GCGCAGCAGGCGAGAAAGCGCGAUGAGGGAAUCCCAAGUGCUUGCACGUAAGUGUAAGCUGUUUCUCUGUCUAAAAGCAGAGAGAGUAAGGGCUGGGUAAGACGGGUGCCAGCCGCCGCGGUAAUACCUGCAGCUCAAGUGGUGGCCGCUAUUAUUGGGCCUAAAACGUCCGUAGCCGGGUCUAGUAAGUGCCUGGGGUAAAUUGUGAGGCUUAACCUUACGAAUUCCGGGUAGACUGCUAGACUUGAGACCGGGAGAGGCUAGAGGUACUCCUGGGGUAGAGGUGAAAUUCUGUAAUCCUAGGGGGACCACCAGUGGCGAAGGCGUCUAGCUAGAACGGGUCUGACGGUGAGGGACGAAGCCCUGGGGCGCAAAACCGGG
RNAcentral lists this ribosomal RNA (381 nucleotides) under uncultured microorganism. Its description in RNAcentral is "bacterial SSU rRNA". It matches the Rfam family "Archaeal small subunit ribosomal RNA", at positions 330 to 728 of the family's 1478-position model. The record is from RNAcentral.